Molecule: ribosomal RNA, 501 nt
Filed under: uncultured bacterium
Lineage: Bacteria
Description: bacterial SSU rRNA
Rfam family: Bacterial small subunit ribosomal RNA
Source: RNAcentral
AGAGUUUGAUCAUGGCUCAGAUUGAACGCUGGCGGAAUGCUUUACACAUGCAAGUCGAACGGCAGCACGGGGCAACCUGGUGGCGAGUGGCGAACGGGUGAGUAAUACAUCGGAACGUGCCCAAUCGUGGGGAUAACGUAGCGAAAGUUACGCUAAUACCGCAUACGAUCUACGGAUGAAAGCGGGGGAUCGCAAGACCUCGCGCGAGUGGAGCGGCCGAUGUCAGAUUAGGUAGUUGGUGGGGUAAAGGCUCACCAAGCCAACGAUCUGUAGCUGGUCUGAGAGGACGACCAGCCACACUGGAACUGAGACACGGUCCAGACUCCUACGGGAGGCAGCAGUGGGGAAUUUUGGACAAUGGGCGCAAGCCUGAUCCAGCCAUUCCGCGUGCAGGAUGAAGGCCUUCGGGUUGUAAACUGCUUUUGUACGGAACGAAACGGCGAGCUCUAAUACAGUUUGCUAAUGACGGUACCGUAAGAAUAAGCACCGGCUAACUACGUG